This 442-nucleotide ribosomal RNA is filed under the name uncultured bacterium. RNAcentral describes it as "bacterial SSU rRNA". It matches the Rfam family "Bacterial small subunit ribosomal RNA", at positions 32 to 449 of the family's 1533-position model. The record is from RNAcentral.
AAUCAACGCUGGCGGCGUGCCUCAGACAUGCAAGUCGAACGCGAAACCUUCCUUCGGGAGGGGAGUAGAGUGGCGCACGGGUGAGUAACACGUAGGUAAUUUGCCUUCGGGUGGGGAAUAACAGCCGGAAACGGCUGCUAAUACCGCAUAAUGCAGCGGCUCGACAUCGAGACAGUUGUUAAAGCGGGGGAUUCCGCAAGGAACCUCGCGCCUGGAGAGAAGCCUGCGGCAGAUUAGCUUGUUGGUAGGGUAAUGGCCUACCAAGGCGACGAUCUGUAACCGGCCUGAGAGGGCGGUCGGUCACACUGACACUGACAUACGGGUCAGACUCCUACGGGAGGCAGCAGUCGGGAAUUUUGGGCAAUGGGCGAAAGCCUGACCCAGCAACGCCGCGUGAAGGAUGAAAUCCCUCGGGAUGUAAACUUCGCAAGAAUGGGAAGAA